AGGACGAACGCUGGCGGCGUGCCUAACACAUGCAAGUCGAACGGGGCCCGCAAGGGUUCAGUGGCGAACGGGUGCGUAACACGUGAAGAACUUGUCCAUCGGCGGGGGAUAGCCGGCCCAACGGCCGGGUAAUACCGCGUACGUUCUUCGAGGGGCAUCCCUUGAAGAGGAAAGCAGCAAUGCACCGAUGGAGAGCUUCGCGGCCUAUCAGCUUGUUGGCGGGGUAAUGGCCCACCAAGGCAACGACGGGUAGCUGGUCUGAGAGGAUGAUCAGCCACAUUGGGACUGAGACACGGCCCAGACUCCUACGGGAGGCAGCAGUGGGGAAUAUUGCGCAAUGGGCGAAAGCCUGACGCAGCGACGCCGCGUGUGGGAUGACGGCCUUCGGUUGUAACCGACUGUCGCGAGGGACGAAAAAAAGUGACGGUACCGUCGAAAGGAAGCGACCGGCUAACUCUGCGCAGCAGCCGC
RNAcentral lists this ribosomal RNA (471 nucleotides) under uncultured bacterium. Its description in RNAcentral is "SSU rRNA". It matches the Rfam family "Bacterial small subunit ribosomal RNA", at positions 26 to 518 of the family's 1533-position model. The record is from RNAcentral.